Molecule: non-coding RNA, 88 nt
Organism: Acanthosepion pharaonis
Lineage: Eukaryota; Metazoa; Mollusca; Cephalopoda; Sepiida; Sepiidae
Source: the annotation of a GenBank genome assembly
UCAUCUCAUCUGAUCACCGAAGUUAAGAAGCUUCGAAGCUGGUCAGUACCUAGAUGGGUGACCGCUUGGGAAUACCAGGUUUUGCAAG